This 253-nucleotide ribosomal RNA is filed under the name uncultured bacterium. Its description in RNAcentral is "partial 16S ribosomal RNA". It matches the Rfam family "Bacterial small subunit ribosomal RNA", at positions 524 to 776 of the family's 1533-position model. The record is from RNAcentral.
UACGUAGGGGGCAAGCGUUAUCCGGAUUUACUGGGUGUAAAGGGGGCGCAGACGGCGAUGCAAGCCAGGAGUGAAGGCCCGGGGCCCAACCCCGGGACUGCUCUUGGAACUGCGUGGCUGGAGUGCAGGAGGGGCAGGCGGAAUUCCUGGUGUAGCGGUGAAAUGCGUAGAUAUCAGGAGGAACACCGGUGGCGAAGGCGGCCUGCUGGACUGCAACUGACGUUGAGGCCCGAAAGCGUGGGGAGCAAACAGG